RNAcentral lists this ribosomal RNA (394 nucleotides) under uncultured Anaeromyxobacter sp. RNAcentral's name for it is "bacterial SSU rRNA". It matches the Rfam family "Bacterial small subunit ribosomal RNA", at positions 67 to 447 of the family's 1533-position model. The record is from RNAcentral. Lineage: Bacteria; Pseudomonadati; Myxococcota; Myxococcia; Myxococcales; Anaeromyxobacteraceae.
CGAGAAAGCCCGCAAGGGUGAGUAAAGCGGCGCACGGGUGCGUAACACGUGGGUAAUCUGCCCUGGAGUCCGGAAUAACUCGCCGAAAGGCGUGCUAAUGCCGGAUUAGACCACGGGAGCUCCGGCUCCUGCGGGAAAAGGUGGCCUCUGUAUACAAGCUAUCGCUUCAGGAUGAGCCCGCGGCCCAUCAGCUCGUUGGCGGGGUAAUGGCCCACCAAGGCUACGACGGGUAGCUGGUCUGAGAGGACGAUCAGCCACACUGGAACUGAGACACGGUCCAGACUCCUACGGGAGGCAGCAGUGGGGAAUCUUGCGCAAUGGGCGAAAGCCUGACGCAGCAACGCCGCGUGUGUGAUGAAGGUCUUCGGAUCGUAAAGCACUGUCGCGAGGGACG